This 1548-nucleotide ribosomal RNA is filed under the name Escherichia coli. RNAcentral's name for it is "bacterial SSU rRNA". It matches the Rfam family "Bacterial small subunit ribosomal RNA". Lineage: Bacteria; Pseudomonadati; Pseudomonadota; Gammaproteobacteria; Enterobacterales; Enterobacteriaceae. The record is from RNAcentral.
UUAAAUUGAAGAGUUUGAUCAUGGCUCAGAUUGAACGCUGGCGGCAGGCCUAACACAUGCAAGUCGAACGGUAACAGGAAGAGCUUGCUUUUGCUGACGAGUGGCGGACGGGUGAGUAAUGUCUGGGAAACUGCCUGAUGGAGGGGGAUAACUACUGGAAACGGUAGCUAAUACCGCAUAACGUCGCAAGACCAAAGAGGGGGACCUUCGGGCCUCUUGCCAUCGGAUGUGCCAGAUGGGAUUAGCUAGUAGGUGGGGUAACGGCUCACCUAGGCGACGAUCCCUAGCUGGUCUGAGAGGAUGACCAGCCACACUGGAACUGAGACACGGUCCAGACUCCUACGGGAGGCAGCAGUGGGGAAUAUUGCACAAUGGGCGCAAGCCUGAUGCAGCCAUGCCGCGUGUAUGAAGAAGGCCUUCGGGUUGUAAAGUACUUUCAGCGGGGAGGAAGGGAGUAAAGUUAAUACCUUUGCUCAUUGACGUUACCCGCAGAAGAAGCACCGGCUAACUCCGUGCCAGCAGCCGCGGUAAUACGGAGGGUGCAAGCGUUAAUCGGAAUUACUGGGCGUAAAGCGCACGCAGGCGGUUUGUUAAGUCAGAUGUGAAAUCCCCGGGCUCAACCUGGGAACUGCAUCUGAUACUGGCAAGCUUGAGUCUCGUAGAGGGGGGUAGAAUUCCAGGUGUAGCGGUGAAAUGCGUAGAGAUCUGGAGGAAUACCGGUGGCGAAGGCGGCCCCCUGGACGAAGACUGACGCUCAGGUGCGAAAGCGUGGGGAGCAAACAGGAUUAGAUACCCUGGUAGUCCACGCCGUAAACGAUGUCGACUUGGAGGUUGUGCCCUUGAGGCGUGGCUUCCGGAGCUAACGCGUUAAGUCGACCGCCUGGGGAGUACGGCCGCAAGGUUAAAACUCAAAUGAAUUGACGGGGGCCCGCACAAGCGGUGGAGCAUGUGGUUUAAUUCGAUGCAACGCGAAGAACCUUACCUGGUCUUGACAUCCACGGAAGUUUUCAGAGAUGAGAAUGUGCCUUCGGGAACCGUGAGACAGGUGCUGCAUGGCUGUCGUCAGCUCGUGUUGUGAAAUGUUGGGUUAAGUCCCGCAACGAGCGCAACCCUUAUCCUUUGUUGCCAGCGGUCCGGCCGGGAACUCAAAGGAGACUGCCAGUGAUAAACUGGAGGAAGGUGGGGAUGACGUCAAGUCAUCAUGGCCCUUACGACCAGGGCUACACACGUGCUACAAUGGCGCAUACAAAGAGAAGCGACCUCGCGAGAGCAAGCGGACCUCAUAAAGUGCGUCGUAGUCCGGAUUGGAGUCUGCAACUCGACUCCAUGAAGUCGGAAUCGCUAGUAAUCGUGGAUCAGAAUGCCACGGUGAAUACGUUCCCGGGCCUUGUACACACCGCCCGUCACACCAUGGGAGUGGGUUGCAAAAGAAGUAGGUAGCUUAACCUUCGGGAGGGCGCUUACCACUUUGUGAUUCAUGACUGGGGUGAAGUCGUAACAAGGUAACCGUAGGGGAACCUGCGGUUGGAUCACCUCCUUACCUUAAAG